ACUCCUACGGGAGGCAGCAGUGGGGAAUAUUGCACAAUGGGCGCAAGCCUGAUGCAGCAACGCCGCGUGAGUGAUGAAGGCCUUCGGUCGUAAAGCUCUGUCCUCAAGGAAGAAUAAAUGACGGUACUUGAGGAGGAAGCCCGGCUAACUACGUGCCAGCAGCCGCGGUAAUACGUAGGGGGCAAGCGUUAUCCGGAAUCACUGGGGCGUAAAGGGGUGCGUAGGCGGUUUUCAAGUCAGAAGUGAAAGGCUAUGGCUCAACCAUAGUAAGCUUUUGAAACUGUUAAACUUGAGUGCAGGAGAGGAAAGUGGAAUUCCUAGUGUAGAGGUGAAAUUCGUAGAUAUUAGGAGGAACACCAGUGGCGAAGGCGACUUUCUGGACUGUAACUGACGCUGAGGCACGAAAGCGUGGGGAGCGAACAGGAUUAGAUACCCUGGUAGGACAGAG
Molecule: ribosomal RNA, 448 nt
Filed under: uncultured bacterium
Lineage: Bacteria
Description: bacterial SSU rRNA
Rfam family: Bacterial small subunit ribosomal RNA
Source: RNAcentral